CUGGAGACACAAACUGAAGACAAACAACGAAGACAUAAAGCUUCAAAACCAGUAUAAUGAAGUUACUGCUCCUACUCAUCCUCUCUCUGACCACAGGUCGUGAAUCUGAAGUGAGAGCAUGUCACCAUCGAUGGGCUGAAAUCACCUGCAAAUAUCCUGAAACAAAUAACAUAUAUCAGUACAUUGAUGUAGUUCUUUCCAGUGGAACACCUGUACAAAGCUUUAAGAAGGACGUGUGGGAAGAAAAUGGUAGAUUUUGCCUCUACCAUGAUACAAAAAAUAAAAAUCUCAAGGUUGCAAUAAAACAUGUUAAAGAGCAAGAGUUUGGGAAGUACAGGUGCAGGUUUUUCCAAAGAUCGAACUCAUCUGACAUACAGGAAGGAAAACUGGAGACCGAGCAUGUAAACUGCCCGCGAACAUUUCUCAGCGUGUACAGAACAGCUAACAGCACCAUCACAUGUGAUUAUCCAGAUGUUUACGCGUCCCACAUAAAGUUCUUCUGUAAAAAGAAACGUUUUACCUGUGAGGACAUUUUAUCAACGUCAAAAGGGAAGUUUACUCUCACAGGCAGCAGCCGUGCCUUGAACAUUUCCAUCAGUCAUGCGACCUCACAGGAUGCUGGUGAUUACUGGUGUGGAGUGGAAUCAAAUGAUGGAAGUUACAGAUUAUCACACACACAAGUAAACCUGAAAGUUAUAGAUAUUGAACCUUUGACAUCAACUAUUGGACAGAACUUCACUUACCAGUGUAAGUACAACCGGGAUGCCUCCUCAUGUAUAAAAUUCAUCUGCAAAGGAGAAGAUUCAACUGUAUGCAAACAGCUAGUAACCACCACAGAGCCUGACGUGAACCAGAGGUUUAUAAUGAAAGAGAACAGCGGGAGUAUCACCAUUACAGUGAGAGAAGUAACAGCAAACGAUAGUGGGAUAUACUGGUGUGGAGCAAGAGUCCCUCACAAAGACAAUCAAACACAUGACGACUUCUUUGAUGGAUUUAAUUUGACUCUAGGGACCAAAUCACCUGCUCGAAGAUCAUCAGACAGAGAUGAAUGUGUUUAAUGAGUCUUUAUUUAUUUGUGUUCACAUUCAAAUCACAUACCAAAAAAUACAAAUUAGAUUUUAAACCAUGUUUGAACACAUUAACAAUGCAUUUUCCAUUUGUUAUUAUAGAGCUUUUGCCUGUAACAGAAACAGGUCUUCUAACCACAGCAACCACCCCAGCUCCUCAGAGUUCUGUGAUGACCUUGAUCCUAUGUGUGGCUGUGUUGCAGCUGAUGUUUGCAAUCAUUUUAUUCCUUAUCUAUAAACGAGUCUCACAUUUAAAAAAUGCUGAAAAUGGAGCUGGAGCAUCGUAUGUCAAACAGGAUAAUGGCAACAACAAAUACCUUGAGGUCUGUGCUGGUGAGGAUACACAGGAGCACCUUCAGGUGUCAGAGUCAGAAAAUGCAGCAAACUCAAUUUAAGUUAGAGCCAACCUUCACUCUGUGCUUUCUCGCCACAUUAUGCAAACAUCAACUUUCAAAGCUGUUCUGUCAAAGCUGCUGGUGAGGUACUCAAACCCAGCUCCUCAGCCUGUGAAUGUUCUACUGUGGAGUUCAGCAAAUGUUCAACCAGCCCGACUUGCCUUUCUAUCAGCUAAAACAACAAAGAGGAAUGUUUUUCUGAUUACUGCGCAUUGCCAAAAAAUGAGGUUUAAAGUUAACACAGCCAAACAAGAAAUACUUUUUAUUCUCAGAGUUCAUAACAGAGUUGGGCAAAAAUAAAUAUCAUUUUUAAAAAUACUGCCCUUUGUUCCUAGAAUAGUCUGUAGAACAAAAUAAAACUGUUAGAACUUGUUACUGUGACUUAAUAUACUUAAUAGUUUAAGUCAAUUUAAAGGAUCAACAAAAUAGAUAUGAGACAACGAGAUUACUCUUAAAAUUGAUUUGAAAUUCAUUGUUUUGUGGUUGGGUAUGGGCUGGUUGUAUUCACUCACACAUGUACUGUUUAGCAGCUGUAUUUGUGUGACAGCUGAUUUUUGUAAUUGUUACAAUUUCUCCUCCUCUCUUGGGCACAUAAAAUGUUACUAAAUAAGGAGAAAUAAAAAACACAAAGAAUUUAACACCCUGCUUCUGGCUUGAUAAGCAAAAGAAAUUCCAUAGAAAUUCCUCGAACACGUUUUAAGACCAGAGGAGACGUUUUAGAGCGGUGGCCCCCAGGUUGUGGAAUGCGCUCCCUCCAUCAUUACGUUGCCUUGAUUGUAUUUAUUCUUUUAAAAAGCAGCUUAAGACUCAUUUGUGCUGAACGUUUGACUGUGCUGUUUUUAUGUAUAUCUGUUUUUAUAUUACUGCGAAGCACUUUGUGGUUUUUAUCCUGUACAGAGUGCUAUAUAAAUAAAUUGAAUUGAAUUUUUCUGACUGUAAUUAUUAGGAAUAAUAGGAUUUUCAGCUAAAGCGAUAUUCACAAUAAACAAUAAAAAGUCAUACCAUU
Molecule: long non-coding RNA, 2468 nt
Organism: Astatotilapia calliptera (eastern happy)
Lineage: Eukaryota; Metazoa; Chordata; Actinopteri; Cichliformes; Cichlidae
Source: Ensembl